GCAGCAGCCGCGGUAAUACGUAGGUCCCGAGCAUUGUCCGGAUUUAUUGGGCGUAAAGCGGGCGCAGGCGGUUUGAUAAGUCUGAAGUUAAAGGCUGUGGCUCAACCAUAGUUCGCUUUGGAAACUGUCAAACUUGAGUGCAGAAGGGGAGAGUGGAAUUCCAUGUGUAGCGGUGAAAUGCGUAGAUAUAUGGAGGAACACCGGUGGCGAAAGCGGCUCUCUGGUCUGUAACUGACGCUGAGGCUCGAAAGCGUGGGGAGCGAACAGGAUUAGAUACCCGCGUAGUCCCUGUCUCUUAUACA
Molecule: ribosomal RNA, 302 nt
Filed under: uncultured bacterium
Lineage: Bacteria
Description: partial 16S ribosomal RNA
Rfam family: Bacterial small subunit ribosomal RNA
Source: RNAcentral